This 79-nucleotide transfer RNA is filed under the name Microbacterium phage Count. RNAcentral's name for it is "tRNA-Tyr". It matches the Rfam family "tRNA". From Rfam's summary of the family: Transfer RNA (tRNA) molecules are approximately 80 nucleotides in length. Their secondary structure includes four short double-helical elements and three loops (D, anti-codon, and T loops). Further hydrogen bonds mediate the characteristic L-shaped molecular structure. tRNAs have two regions of fundamental functional importance: the anti-codon, which is responsible for specific mRNA codon recognition, and the 3' end, to which the tRNAs corresponding amino acid is attached (by aminoacyl-tRNA synthetases). tRNAs cope with the degeneracy of the genetic code in two manners: having more than one tRNA (with a specific anti-codon) for a particular amino acid; and 'wobble' base-pairing, i.e. permitting non-standard base-pairing at the 3rd anti-codon position. Lineage: Duplodnaviria; Heunggongvirae; Uroviricota; Caudoviricetes. The record is from RNAcentral.
GGGAUCGUGGCACAGCGGCGACUGCGCCUGACUGUAAAUCAGGUAUAUCACACGUAGGUUCGAGUCCUACCGAUCCCAC